GACGAACGCUGGCGGCGUGCCUAAUACAUGCAAGUCGAGCGGACGAAUCGAAAGCUUGCUCUUGAUUCGUUAGCGGCGGACGGGUGAGUAACACGUGGGCAACCUGCCCUGUAGACGGGGAUAACACCGAGAAAUCGGUGCUAAUACCGGAUAAUAUGUAAUGUCGCAUGACGCUUUGUUGAAAGACGGUGCUAGUUUCCGCUACAGGUUGAGCCCGCGGCGCAUUAGCUAGGUGUUGAGGUAACGGCUCACCAAGGCGACGAUGCGUAGCCGACCUGAGAGGGUGAUCGGCCACACUGGGACUGAGACACGGCCCAGACUCCUACGGGAGGCAGCAGUAGGGAAUCUUCCGCAAUGGACGAAAGUCUGACGGAGCAACGCUGCGUGAGCGAUGAAGGCCUUCGGGUCGUAAAGCUCUGUUGUUAGGGAAGAACAAGUAACGAAGUAACUGGCGUUACCGUGACGGUACCUAACGAGAAAGCCACGGCUAACUACGUG
Molecule: ribosomal RNA, 498 nt
Filed under: uncultured bacterium
Lineage: Bacteria
Description: partial 16S ribosomal RNA
Rfam family: Bacterial small subunit ribosomal RNA
Source: RNAcentral